Molecule: transfer RNA, 72 nt
Filed under: Ornithorhynchus anatinus (platypus)
Lineage: Eukaryota; Metazoa; Chordata; Mammalia; Monotremata; Ornithorhynchidae
Rfam family: tRNA
About the family: Transfer RNA (tRNA) molecules are approximately 80 nucleotides in length.
Source: Rfam by way of RNAcentral
AGCAGCGUGGCCUUGUGGAAAGAGGAUGGCCUUGGGAGUCAGAGGAUCUGGGUUCUAAUCCCAGCUCUGCCA